This 2898-nucleotide ribosomal RNA is filed under the name Campylobacter jejuni. RNAcentral's name for it is "23S ribosomal RNA". It matches the Rfam family "Bacterial large subunit ribosomal RNA". The record is from RNAcentral. Lineage: Bacteria; Pseudomonadati; Campylobacterota; Epsilonproteobacteria; Campylobacterales; Campylobacteraceae.
AAGCUACUAAGAGCGAAUGGUGGAUGCCUUGACUGGUAAAGGCGAUGAAGGACGUACUAGACUGCGAUAAGCUACGGGGAGCUGUCAAGAAGCUUUGAUCCGUAGAUUUCCGAAUGGGGCAACCAAUGUAUAGAGAUAUACAUUACCUAUAUAGGAGCGAACGAGGGGAAUUGAAACAUCUUAGUACCCUCAGGAAAAGAAAUCAAUAGAGAUUGCGUCAGUAGCGGCGAGCGAAAGCGCAAGAGGGCAAACCCAGUGCUUGCACUGGGGGUUGUAGGACUGCAAUGUGCAAGAGGUAAGUUUAGCAGAACAUUCUGGAAAGUAUAACCAUAGAGGGUGAUAGUCCCGUAUGCGAAAAACAAACCUUAGCUAGCAGUAUCCUGAGUAGGGCGGGACACGAGGAAUCCUGUCUGAAUCCGGGUCGACCACGAUCCAACCCUAAAUACUAAUACCAGAUCGAUAGUGCACAAGUACCGUGAGGGAAAGGUGAAAAGAACUGAGGUGAUCAGAGUGAAAUAGAACCUGAAACCAUUUGCUUACAAUCAUUCAGAGCCCUAUGUAGCAAUACAGGGUGAUGGACUGCCUUUUGCAUAAUGAGCCUGCGAGUUGUGGUGUCUGGCAAGGUUAAGCAAACGCGAAGCCGUAGCGAAAGCGAGUCUGAAUAGGGCGCUUAGUCAGAUGCUGCAGACCCGAAACGAAGUGAUCUAUCCAUGAGCAAGUUGAAGCUAGUGUAAGAACUAGUGGAGGACUGAACCCAUAGGCGUUGAAAAGCCCCGGGAUGACUUGUGGAUAGGGGUGAAAGGCCAAUCAAACUUCGUGAUAGCUGGUUCUCUCCGAAAUAUAUUUAGGUAUAGCGUUGUGUCGUAAUAUAAGGGGGUAGAGCACUGAAUGGGCUAGGGCAUACACCAAUGUACCAAACCCUAUCAAACUCCGAAUACCUUAUAUGUAAUCACAGCAGUCAGGCGGCGAGUGAUAAAAUCCGUCGUCAAGAGGGAAACAACCAGACUACCAGCUAAGGUCCCUAAAUCUUACUUAAGUGAAAACGAUGUGAAGUUACUUAAACAACCAGGAGGUUGGCUUAGAAGCAGCCAUCCUUUAAAGAAAGCGUAAUAGCUCACUGGUCUAGUGAUUUUGCGCGGAAAAUAUAACGGGGCUAAAGUAAGUACCGAAGCUGUAGACUUAGUUUACUAAGUGGUAGGAGAGCGUUCUAUUUGCGUCGAAGGUAUACCGGUAAGGAGUGCUGGAGCGAAUAGAAGUGAGCAUGCAGGCAUGAGUAGCGAUAAUUAAUGUGAGAAUCAUUAACGCCGUAAACCCAAGGUUUCCUACGCGAUGCUCGUCAUCGUAGGGUUAGUCGGGUCCUAAGUCGAGUCCGAAAGGGGUAGACGAUGGCAAAUUGGUUAAUAUUCCAAUACCAACAUUAGUGUGCGAUGGAAGGACGCUUAGGGCUAAGGGGGCUAGCGGAUGGAAGUGCUAGUCUAAGGUCGUAGGAGGUUGUACAGGCAAAUCCGUAUAACAAUACUCCGAGAACUGAAAGGCUUUUUGAAGUCUUCGGAUGGAUAGAAGAACCCCUGAUGCCGUCGAGCCAAGAAAAGUUUCUAAGUUUAGCUAAUGUUGCCCGUACCGUAAACCGACACAGGUGGGUGGGAUGAGUAUUCUAAGGCGCGUGGAAGAACUCUCUUUAAGGAACUCUGCAAAAUAGCACCGUAUCUUCGGUAUAAGGUGUGGUUAGCUUUGUAUUAGGAUUUACUCCGAAAGCAAGGAAACUUACAACAAAGAGUCCCUCCCGACUGUUUACCAAAAACACAGCACUCUGCUAACUCGUAAGAGGAUGUAUAGGGUGUGACGCCUGCCCGGUGCUCGAAGGUUAAUUGAUGGGGUUAGCAUUAGCAAAGCUCUUGAUCGAAGCCCGAGUAAACGGCGGCCGUAACUAUAACGGUCCUAAGGUAGCGAAAUUCCUUGUCGGUUAAAUACCGACCUGCAUGAAUGGCGUAACGAGAUGGGAGCUGUCUCAAAGAGGGAUCCAGUGAAAUUGUAGUGGAGGUGAAAAUUCCUCCUACCCGCGGCAAGACGGAAAGACCCCGUGGACCUUUACUACAGCUUGACACUGCUACUUGGAUAAGAAUGUGCAGGAUAGGUGGGAGGCUUUGAGUAUAUGACGCCAGUUGUAUAUGAGCCAUUGUUGAGAUACCACUCUUUCUUAUUUGGGUAGCUAACCAGCUUGAGUUAUCCUCAAGUGGGACAAUGUCUGGUGGGUAGUUUGACUGGGGCGGUCGCCUCCCAAAUAAUAACGGAGGCUUACAAAGGUUGGCUCAGAACGGUUGGAAAUCGUUCGUAGAGUAUAAAGGUAUAAGCCAGCUUAACUGCAAGACAUACAAGUCAAGCAGAGACGAAAGUCGGUCUUAGUGAUCCGGUGGUUCUGUGUGGAAGGGCCAUCGCUCAAAGGAUAAAAGGUACCCCGGGGAUAACAGGCUGAUCUCCCCCAAGAGCUCACAUCGACGGGGAGGUUUGGCACCUCGAUGUCGGCUCAUCGCAUCCUGGGGCUGGAGCAGGUCCCAAGGGUAUGGCUGUUCGCCAUUUAAAGCGGUACGCGAGCUGGGUUCAGAACGUCGUGAGACAGUUCGGUCCCUAUCUGCCGUGGGCGUAAGAAGAUUGAAGAGAUUUGACCCUAGUACGAGAGGACCGGGUUGAACAAACCACUGGUGUAGCUGUUGUUCUGCCAAGAGCAUCGCAGCGUAGCUAAGUUUGGAAAGGAUAAACGCUGAAAGCAUCUAAGCGUGAAGCCAACUCUAAGAUGAAUCUUCUCUAAGCUCUCUAGAAGACUACUAGUUUGAUAGGCUGGGUGUGUAAUGGAUGAAAGUCCUUUAGCUGACCAGUACUAAUAGAGCGUUUGGCUUAUCU